AGCCUUAUCACAUUGAAACACCAGUUAUCAUACAAUCACUGAAGUUAAGCAAUGUUGAGCUUGGUCAGUACCUAGACGGAUGACCACUUGGGAAUACCAGGUGCUAUA
Molecule: non-coding RNA, 108 nt
Organism: Acanthosepion pharaonis
Lineage: Eukaryota; Metazoa; Mollusca; Cephalopoda; Sepiida; Sepiidae
Source: the annotation of a GenBank genome assembly